Molecule: ribosomal RNA, 253 nt
Filed under: uncultured bacterium
Lineage: Bacteria
Description: partial 16S ribosomal RNA
Rfam family: Bacterial small subunit ribosomal RNA
Source: RNAcentral
UACAGAGGGGGCAAGCGUUGUUCGGAAUUACUGGGCGUAAAGGGCGCGUAGGCGGCCGCCUAAGUCAGACGUGAAAUCCCCCGGCUUAACCUGGGAACUGCGUCUGAUACUGGACGGCUUGAGUAUGGGAGAGGGAUGUAGAAUUCCAGGUGUAGCGGUGAAAUGCGUAGAUAUCUGGAGGAAUACCGGUGGCGAAGGCGGCAUCCUGGACCAUUACUGACGCUGAGGCGCGAAAGCUAGGGGAGCAAACGGG